This is a long non-coding RNA of Lacerta agilis (Sand lizard), 228 nucleotides long. RefSeq lists it as uncharacterized. The record is from RefSeq and is a predicted model, not a curated record. NCBI's taxonomy places the organism in Eukaryota, Metazoa, Chordata, Lepidosauria, Squamata, Lacertidae. The transcript has 3 exons.
GCCUCGGAGAUGUGGCUGCUCUCUUCUAUUCAGCUCUUUCAGUUUUAAGGAAAAAUUUUAUCGGCUGAAUUUUACAUGUCCCUUCACCUUUCAAGGGGAAUUUGGCCAUAGAUUCUUUCCUGGGGUGGGUGGGAAUGUGGCUGGAAUAUUUCCAUUAAAAUGUGAAAUAUCAAUAACAGAUUUCAUGUGUUUGUGUUGUGGGCUGUGAGGACUGGAUGGAGAAUUAUA